This 1011-nucleotide long non-coding RNA is filed under the name Zonotrichia albicollis (white-throated sparrow). Its description in RNAcentral is "lncRNA (ENSZALG00000007176.1)". The record is from RNAcentral. Lineage: Eukaryota; Metazoa; Chordata; Aves; Passeriformes; Passerellidae.
AUGGGGUUUUUGGGGGCUGUCUCUGGGGUUUUGGUGUUCCUCAUUGGGUUUUUGGGGUUUCUGUCUGUGUUAUUUGGGGCUCCUGACUGUGUUUUUGGGGUUCCUGGCUGUGUUUUGGGGGUUCCUGAUGGGGUUUUUUGUGUUCCUGGCUGUGUUUUUGGGGUUUCUGACUGUGUUUUUGGGUCCCCAGCCCCGUGUCCUGGUGAUCUCGUGUCCCCAGCACCGAGCUCUGUUAUUUGGGGUUACUCUGUGGGUUAUUUGGGGUUUUUGGCAGGGUUUUUGGGGUUUCUGAUGGGUUAUUUGGGGUUCCUGAUGGGGUUUUUGGGGUUCUCUCUGUGUUAUUUGGGGUUCCUGACAGGGUUUUUAGGGUUCCCAGCCCCAUGUCCUGCUGAUCUCACGUCCCCAGGACCAGGCUGUGUUUGUUAUUUGGGGUUUCUCUCUGGGCUAUUUGGGGCUCCUGACAGGUUUUUGGGGUUUUUCCCACUGGGCUCUGUUUGUUAUUUGGGGUUUCUCACUGGGUUAUUUGGGGUUUCUGAUGGGGUUUUUACCCCAGCCCCAUGUUCUGGUAAUCUCAUGUCCCCAGGGCUGAGCUGUGUGGGUUAUUUGAGUUUCUCUCUGGGUUAUUUGGGGGAUCCUGACUGUGUUUUUGGUGUUCCUGAUGGGGUUUUUGGGGUUCCUGACUGCGUUUUUGGGUCCCCAGCCCCGUGUCCUGGUGAUCUCGUGUCCCCAGCACUGAGCUCUGUUAUUUGGGGUUACUCUGUGGGUUAUUUGGGGUUUCUCGCUGGGUUAUUUGGGGUUUCUCUGUGGGUUAUUUGGGGGUUUUUUUUGGGUUAUUUGGGGUUCCUGACUGUGUUUUUGGGGUUCCUGAUGGGGUUUUUGGUGUUCCUGGCUGUGUUUUUGGGUCCCCAGUCCCGUGUCCUGGUGAUCUCGUGUCCCCAGCACCGAGUUCUGUUAUUUGGGGUUACUCUGUGGGUUAUUUGGGGUUUCUCGCUGGGUUAUUUGGAGUUCUGA